RNAcentral lists this ribosomal RNA (568 nucleotides) under uncultured bacterium. Its description in RNAcentral is "bacterial SSU rRNA". It matches the Rfam family "Bacterial small subunit ribosomal RNA", at positions 338 to 916 of the family's 1533-position model. The record is from RNAcentral.
CCUACGGGAGGCAGCAGUGGGGAAUCUUGCACAAUGGGCGCAAGCCUGAUGCAGCGACGCCGCGUGGGGGAUGAAGGCCCUCGGGUUGUAAACCCCUUUCGGUAGGGAAGAAGCGCAAGUGACGGUACCUGCAGAAGAAGUCCCGGCUAACUACGUGCCAGCAGCCGCGGUAAGACGUAGGGGACGAGCGUUGUCCGGAUUUAUUGGGCGUAAAGCGCGCGUAGGCGGUUUGGUAAGUCGGAUGUGAAAUCCCGAGGCUCAACCUCGGGACUGCAUCCGAUACUGCCCGACUAGAGGUAGGUAGGGGAGAUCGGAAUUCCUGGUGUAGCGGUGAAAUGCGCAGAUAUCAGGAGGAACACCGGUGGCGAAGGCGGAUCUCUGGGCCUUACCUGACGCUGAGGCGCGAAAGCUAGGGGAGCGAACAGGAUUAGAUACCCUGGUAGUCCUAGCCGUAAACGUUGGGUGCUAGGUGUGGGGGGACAUCGACCCCCUCCGUGCCGAAGCUAACGCAUUAAGCACCCCGCCUGGGGAGUACGGCCGCAAGGCUAAAACUCAAAGGAAUUGACGG